Molecule: ribosomal RNA, 278 nt
Filed under: uncultured bacterium
Lineage: Bacteria
Description: partial 16S ribosomal RNA
Source: RNAcentral
CUGCUGCCUCCCGUAGGAGUCUGGACCGUGUCUCAGUUCCAGUGUGGGGGGCCUUCCUCUCAGAACCCCUACGCAUCGUCGCCACGGUGGGCCGUUACCCCGCCGUCAAGCUAAUGCGCCGCAUGCCCAGCCGCCACCGGAUUCCUCCUUUCGCCCGGACCGGAUGCCCGGUCCGGGCGGCAUGGGGUAUUAGGCCGGGUUUCCCCGGGUUAUCCCCCUGUGGCGGGCAGGUUCCAUACGUGUUACUCACCCGUGCGCCGGUCGCCGGCAGGCGCAGG